UUUGAAGUAUUGGAGGGUGAUCCUGUUUUGAAACAAUCCGUUGGAAAUACCAAUGUAACUGUAUUCCAUUGGGAACCAAAUUGUAGAUUUGGGAGUUGCCUUGAUGGUGUUCAUACGUAUGUGAUUGAAUGUGCUUGAAGGAAAGAAAGCAAGGCUAAAAUUUGGAUUUUCUUUUUUUUUUUUUUGCCUUUUUUAGAAGUAGCCAAAACAAAGCCACGUCACGCCAUGAAACGGAAGCGGACAGCAGAUAAAUCCACCAGUACAAGUGAUCCUGUGAUCGAGGAUGACCAUGUGCAGGUUCUUGUAUUAAAAUCCAAGAAUCUUGUUGGAGUCACUAUGACCAAUUGUGGAAUCACAGAUCUAGUGCUAAAAGACUGUCCGAAGAUGAUGUUCAUCCAUGGUACGUAUUUGGGCCCAUAUUAUACAGGAGUAUCAUGAAUGAGUUAAAAGAAUUAGGAACUCAUAAAUACUGUAAUAGCAUUACUGUCUUAUUUUCUUAAAGGAAAUAUUGUGUUGGGUUAUCUUUAGUUCUGCCUUUGUUCUACUUGUCAAAUUAUUACUCCAUAGUAUUUCUGAGCAUCAUAUAUAGAAACUUGGUUCAUCUUUUAAAAUAGCCUGUCUCCAAAAGAUAAUUACUGCCUGAUCUGGCAGAGUAAAUAACAGCCUGCAUAGGCUUUGGAGUCAGAUAGACCUCAGCUUGAUUGCUGGCUUAGUCAUUUUCUAGCUGUGUGACUUGGGCAUGGUUUUUGAGGGAAGCACCAAUUGGGCCUCAAGUGUAUAACUGCUCUGUAUUUGAUUGAGAUGAUUAAUUAUAUCUUUACUUCAUGGCACAUUAUCAUUAAUCCAAGCCCGUUUUUCUUUUUAGUCACAUGUCCCUCAUUGUUAGUCUCAUCUGCUCCCACCAUCUACACUCGUAUAUUAAAUAUAUUAAAUAUAUAUCUUUCCAGUGCACCUUUUAUGUCUUUAUAUAUGUGUCUGUCUCAAACAUAGGGCAUUAGUUUUUGUGCUUUCUUAAAAUUUUAGUUACGUAAUGUAUCCUAUAAUUGAUCUAUUAAUUUUACCUUUUUUAUUCAAAAUUAUAUUUUAGAUAUCCAUCCAUGUAAAAUUAUGAAGAUCUGACUUAUUUACUUGCCUUGGGCAAGUUAUAUAAUUUUCUGUCUUCAUUUUUUUCAAUCUGUAAGCUGUGCAUAAUUAUGCUUAACUCAUAAAGCAUUUGUGAAAGUUAAAUGCAGUGAUGGAUUUAAAUGUUAAAUGUUUGUGUAUGUGUGUGUAUACAGGCACACUUCAGAGACACUGCAGGUUUGGUUCUAGACCACCAUAAUAAAAGGAAUAUCACAAAGCGAAUCAUAAGAAUUUUUUUAUUUUCCAGCGCAUAUAAAAGUUACGUUUAUACUAUAGUCUAUUAUAUGUGAAGUAGCAUUGUAUUUUUUUUUUUAAAUUUACGUGCCUUAAUUUAAAAACACUUCAUUGGCCAGGCGCGGUGGCUCACACCUGUAAUCCCAGCACCUUGGGAGGCUGUGGCAGGCGGAUCACCUGAGACCAGGAGUUCGAGACCAGCCUGGCCAACAUGGCGAAACUCCGUCUCUACUAAAAAUACAAAAAUUAGCCAGGCGUGGUGGCUCAUGCCUGUAAUCCCAGCUACUUGGGAGGCUGAGGCAGGAGAAUCACUUGAACACAGGAGGCGGAGGUUGCAGUGAGCCAAGAUCGCGCCACUGCAC
Molecule: small RNA, 1718 nt
Filed under: Pongo abelii (Sumatran orangutan)
Lineage: Eukaryota; Metazoa; Chordata; Mammalia; Primates; Hominidae
Description: retained intron
Source: RNAcentral